GGCCUACGGGGGGCAGCAGUGGGGAAUAUUGGACAAUGGGGGAAACCCUGAUCCAGCGACGCCGCGUGAGUGAAGAAGUAUUUCGGUAUGUAAAGCUCUAUCAGCAGGGAAGAAAAUGACGGUACCUGACUAAGAAGCCCCGGCUAACUACGUGCCAGCAGCCGCGGUAAUACGUAGGGGGCAAGCGUUAUCCGGAUUUACUGGGUGUAAAGGGAGCGCAGACGGCGAAGCAAGUCUGAAGUGAAAUGCAUGGGCUCAACCCAUGAAUUGCUUUGGAAACUGUUUGGCUUGAGUGUCGUAGGGGG
RNAcentral lists this ribosomal RNA (305 nucleotides) under uncultured bacterium. RNAcentral's name for it is "bacterial SSU rRNA". It matches the Rfam family "Bacterial small subunit ribosomal RNA", at positions 335 to 658 of the family's 1533-position model. The record is from RNAcentral.